Molecule: ribosomal RNA, 426 nt
Filed under: uncultured Clostridium sp.
Lineage: Bacteria; Bacillati; Bacillota; Clostridia; Eubacteriales; Clostridiaceae
Description: bacterial SSU rRNA
Rfam family: Bacterial small subunit ribosomal RNA
Source: RNAcentral
UGGGGAAUAUUGGGCAAUGGGGGAAACCCUGACCCAGCAACGCCGCGUGAAGGAAGAAGGCCUUCGGGUUGUAAACUUCUUUUAGCAGGGACGAAGGACGUGACGGUACCUGCAGAAAAAGCAACGGCUAACUACGUGCCAGCAGCCGCGGUAAUACGUAGGUUGCAAGCGUUGUCCGGAAUUACUGGGUGUAAAGGGCGUGUAGGCGGAGAAGCAGACUAGGAAGUGAAAUCCAUGGGCUUAACCCAUGAACUGCUUUUGAAACUGUUUCCCUUGAGUAUCGGAGAGGCAGGCGGAAUUCCUAGUGUAGCGGUGAAAUGCGUAGAUAUUAGGAGGAACACCAGUGGCGAAGGCGGCCUGCUGGACGACAACUGACGCUGAGGCGCGAAAGCGUGGGGAGCAAACAGGAUUAGAUACCCUGGUAGU